Molecule: ribosomal RNA, 497 nt
Filed under: uncultured bacterium
Lineage: Bacteria
Description: partial 16S ribosomal RNA
Rfam family: Bacterial small subunit ribosomal RNA
Source: RNAcentral
GACGAACGCUGGCGGCGUGCCUAAUACAUGCAAGUAGAACGCUGAAGAGAGGAGCUUGCUCUUCUUGGAUGAGUUGCGAACGGGUGAGUAACGCGUAGGUAACCUGCCUUGUAGCGGGGGAUAACUAUUGGAAACGAUAGCUAAUACCGCAUAACAAUGGAUGACACAUGUCAUUUAUUUGAAAGGGGCAAUUGUUCCACUACAAGAUGGACCUGCGUUGUAUUAGCUAGUAGGUGAGGUAAUGGCUCACCUAGGCGACGAUACAUAGCCGACCUGAGAGGGUGAUCGGCCACACUGGGACUGAAACACGGCCCAGACUCCUACGGGAGGCAGCAGUAGGGGAUCUUCGGCAAUGGGGGCAACCCUGACCGAGCAACGCCGCGUGAGUGAAGAAGGUUUUCGGAUCGUAAAGCUCUGUUGUAAGUCAAGAACGGGUGUGAGAGUGGAAAGUUCACACUGUGACGGUAGCUUACCAGAAAGGGACGGCUAACUACGUG